GCUGGGUGCGGUGGCACACACCUGUAAUCCCAGUGGCUCGGGAGGCUGAGGCAGGAGGAUCACAAGUUCAAAGCCAGCCUCAGCAAAAGUGAGGCCCUAAGCAACUGAGUGACACCCUGUCUCUA
This 125-nucleotide small RNA is filed under the name Marmota monax (woodchuck). The record is from RNAcentral. Lineage: Eukaryota; Metazoa; Chordata; Mammalia; Rodentia; Sciuridae.